GAGCAGCCUAAUCUCUGAUGGGUCAGAAGCCCUUACCCCAUUCCCUUUUCAGGUCCUGGCUACUUCUCAUGUCCCUUUAUCACCAAAACCAGGCAAGAAAUUAACAAGAAAUGCCCCAGUGAAACACCAAUGGCAGAGAAAACGCAUGUAGGUAACUGGAAACAGCAGCCUUACCUCCUGCUGAGGAUCAAGAUUUCUUAAUCCAGUCAGUUCCUAGCUCAGUACCCUCUCAGUUGAAGUUUGCCGCCACCUCUGAAUACACAGCAACUUUUUCCAGGAUAUCCCCAGGGGACCUCAACAACUUUGUCAUCACCACAAUCUUCGCAGGCAAGGUCUUGAAGGUAUCCACCUUUCCCUAGGGACACAGAAGCCAGGAGACCAAGUGCUACUUACAACUUGGAGGAACCAACACCCCAAAGAUCAGCAGAAAUCACAAUGGGUUGGUCCCUUUGAGGUGCUCCUGAGCACGUACCCCUUCAUCAGUCGAGCAAGCAGGAUAAAACUGUGCAUUCACUAUACUCAGGAGAUACGGCUACCACCUGGGCUAAAGUUCAAGUGAAGUACAUGCUCCUCAGCCACCUACAUAUGGCUGUUGCCACUGAAAGCAACUCUGCCCUCCCCACCAGCUGCAGUCCAGCUGCUACUGGCCCUCACCCAGCCAUUCUGCCUUGGGCCUGGAUGUGACUCUGCCCCUUCCUACCACCACUAGUGCCUUAAUGCACCACCAGCAGGCCUGAGGACAGGUCUGCUUGUCUCAGAUCUGCUCCCCCCAGUGUCCCAUCAGAUAUC
Microcebus murinus (gray mouse lemur) is the source of this 789-nucleotide non-coding RNA. Lineage: Eukaryota; Metazoa; Chordata; Mammalia; Primates; Cheirogaleidae. The record is from RefSeq and is a predicted model, not a curated record.